GGUAGCGUGGCCGAGCGGUCUAAGGCGCUGGAUUAAGUUUCCAGUCUUCUCCUCGGAGUCGUGGGUUCGAAUCCCACCGUUGUCA
This 85-nucleotide transfer RNA is filed under the name Callorhinchus milii (elephant shark). Its description in RNAcentral is "tRNA-Leu (AAG) (tRNA-Leu-AAG-14-1)". It matches the Rfam family "tRNA". From Rfam's summary of the family: Transfer RNA (tRNA) molecules are approximately 80 nucleotides in length. Their secondary structure includes four short double-helical elements and three loops (D, anti-codon, and T loops). The record is from Rfam by way of RNAcentral. Lineage: Eukaryota; Metazoa; Chordata; Chondrichthyes; Chimaeriformes; Callorhinchidae.